Molecule: transfer RNA, 69 nt
Filed under: Eogystia hippophaecolus
Lineage: Eukaryota; Metazoa; Arthropoda; Insecta; Lepidoptera; Cossidae
Description: tRNA-Leu
Source: RNAcentral
UCUAAUAUGGCAGAAAUUAUGCAAUGGAUUUAAACCCCAUUUAUAAAGAAUUUUUAUCUUUUUUUAGAA